This 253-nucleotide ribosomal RNA is filed under the name uncultured bacterium. RNAcentral's name for it is "partial 16S ribosomal RNA". It matches the Rfam family "Bacterial small subunit ribosomal RNA", at positions 524 to 776 of the family's 1533-position model. The record is from RNAcentral.
UACAGAGGUCUCAAGCGUUGUUCGGAUUCAUUGGGCGUAAAGGGUGCGUAGGCGGCGCGGUAAGUCGGGUGUGAAAUCUCGGAGCUUAACUCCGAAACUGCAUUCGAUACUGCCGUGCUUGAGGACUGGAGAGGAGACUGGAAUUUACGGUGUAGCGGUGAAAUGCUUAGAUAUGACAUAGAACACCGAUUGCGAAGGCAGCUCACUACACGAAUAUUGACUCUGAGGCACGAAAGCGUGGGGAUCAAACAGG